UACAGAGGUCUCAAGCGUUGUUCGGAAUCACUGGGCGUAAAGCGUGCGUAGGCUGUUUCGUAAGUCGUGUGUGAAAGGCGCGGGCUCAACCCGCGGACGGCACAUGAUACUGCGAGACUAGAGUAAUGGAGGGGGAACCGGAAUUCUCGGUGUAGCAGUGAAAUGCGUAGAUAUCGGGAGGAACACUCGUGGCGAAGGCGGGUUCCUGGACAUUAACUGACGCUGAGGCACGAAGGCCAGGGGAGCGAAAGGG
This 253-nucleotide ribosomal RNA is filed under the name uncultured bacterium. Its description in RNAcentral is "partial 16S ribosomal RNA". It matches the Rfam family "Bacterial small subunit ribosomal RNA", at positions 524 to 776 of the family's 1533-position model. The record is from RNAcentral.